This is a long non-coding RNA of Gorilla gorilla gorilla (western lowland gorilla), 349 nucleotides long. RefSeq lists it as uncharacterized. The transcript is spliced from 3 exons. The record is from RefSeq and is a predicted model, not a curated record. Lineage: Eukaryota; Metazoa; Chordata; Mammalia; Primates; Hominidae.
AUUCUUGACACACAGAAGCUGUAAGAAAAUAUGUAUUUGUAACUUCAAGCUGUCAAGUUUGUAGUGAUUUGUUAUGCAGCAAUGGAUGACCAGUAUAAUGGAUCAACUCACUUAAAUUUGGGAACUUCAGUUCCUGAUCAUGGUGGAUAAGUACUUUGACCACUGAUUGACACAGCAGAACAAGGAUUUGGGGUCAAGCUGUGCAACCCAAGGUCCAGGAGGUAAAGGGAAGAUCAACCCACCUUUGUGUAUUAUGAAGAUAUGAGCAAACAAACUAGAACACACGCACAAAGAAUAAAUUGAGAUCUGCUAUUUAAUACUUACACGAAGGCACAGAAUGUUGACAAGA